UAGGGAAUCUUCCGCAAUGGACGAAAGUCUGACGGAGCAACGCCGCGUGAGUGAAGAAGGAUUUCGGUUCGUAAAACUCUGUUGUUAGGGAAGAAAAAAUGUAUAGUAACUAUAUACAAAAGAGACGGUACCUAACCAGAAAGCCACGGCUAACUACGUGCCAGCAGCCGCGGUAAUACGUAGGUGGCAAGCGUUGUCCGGAAUUAUUGGGCGUAAAGCGCGCGCAGGUGGUUUAGAAAGUCUGAUGUGAAAGCCCACGGCUCAACCGUGGAGAGUCAUUGGAAACUAAUAAACUUGAGUGCAGUAGAGGAAAGUGGAAUUCCUAGUGUAGCGGUGAAAUGCUGAGAGAUUAGGAGGAACACCGGUGGCGAAAGCGGCUUUUUGGCCUGCAACUGACACUGAGGCGCGAAAGCGUGGGGAGCAAACAGG
This 429-nucleotide ribosomal RNA is filed under the name Verrucomicrobiota bacterium. RNAcentral's name for it is "Verrucomicrobia bacterium partial 16S ribosomal RNA". It matches the Rfam family "Bacterial small subunit ribosomal RNA", at positions 355 to 776 of the family's 1533-position model. Lineage: Bacteria; Pseudomonadati; Verrucomicrobiota. The record is from RNAcentral.